GAUUCGUAGUGGCCCCAAAGGAGCACGCAGAACCUCGGCUGCUGUGCAUUUAUCACCUCUUUUGUUCCCGGAGGCCGCACCCCAGGUCCAGUUUACACAGCUGCCAACUCCUUUUCUUGGUUCCCACUGGAAUCUAGGAAGAAAACUCGCCCUUUACUUCUCCGCCCCACACCCGACGACGGAGUGUCUAGAGAAUUGAGCAUACCACAAAAAAGUUCUCAUUUUGUGUCCUCCCAUCCCAUUCUCCUCACUAACCAAAGGCUAGGAAUUAUCUGUGAAUGUAGGACCACUGGAUUUGCAGUCUUCAUCUGACACUGUGGAGAGUUUCUAGGAAUGAAACAGAUAUAUGGCCUUGGGUCCCCUUUUUUUUUCUUUUUUUUUUUUUUAAUAGAGACGAGCAUCUCACUAUGUUGCCUAGGGUAGUCUUGAACUCCUGGCCUCAAGCAAUCCCCACCCGACUCCGCCUCUCGAAGUGAUGGGAUUACAGGCAUAAACCACCACGCCUGGCCAGAAGGUGCUUUAACACCAAAUCUGAAAAUUGUUCAGAAGAGAAACAUUGAGCAUGAACACCAUCUGUGCGAGUCAUUUACUUAUUGCCCCUCACCUCUAAAUCUACCUUCUGUACUCUUCUUCCCUGUAAUGAUGGGGCUAGUUGUCCUCAAACUGUUUCUCAGACUUCUUUUUAAGCUUGCUUCCUGUUCAGUUCUGCCAAUAGGGGUCACUAGAGAGAGACUGGGAGGCAGAAGGAGAGAAUAUGCUUCCUGUUUUUUCUGUUCUUGUUAAUGUUGCUUACAGGACCAGCAAUGCUUCUUCACCUAGAGACACUUCUCCCAGCAGUGGCAGUGCCACUUCAGCUUCUUUCAGCACUACUGGAAUCAGCCUCAGUGAUUCCCCCUGUACCCGCUCAGAGAUUAUCCACAGCAGCCAGAUGGUUCUACCUUCCACAAAGAUUGUGGUUGCAAUUCUGGGCUUCUAAGUUCUGGUUACUUCAUAUUUUUCCUUUUGUUCCUCCAGCCCUAGAGGUGGUAGCUGCUUUCUGAAGUUAUUAUUUCUAGAUGACUUUUGGUUUUUCAGCCUUUGUAUUUUGCUUUUCAGCCCUCUAAUGCCUGUAUAACCAAUUUCCCUGUAAUAAAUAAAUUUCCUCC
Molecule: long non-coding RNA, 1145 nt
Filed under: Homo sapiens (human)
Lineage: Eukaryota; Metazoa; Chordata; Mammalia; Primates; Hominidae
Description: HSALNT0172039
Source: RNAcentral